This 746-nucleotide long non-coding RNA is filed under the name Bemisia tabaci. Its description in RNAcentral is "lncRNA ENSASIAIIG003441". The record is from RNAcentral. Lineage: Eukaryota; Metazoa; Arthropoda; Insecta; Hemiptera; Aleyrodidae.
UCCUCCGCGUAUAGCGUCAACCCUCGCGCGCUCAGUUCGCUCCGUGCUUCACCGCGCCGAGUUCGCAUUAACGCCGCUCUAGACUUUACGCUAAUCCUUACCCGCUUUGUGCUCGGAUCCGGUGGAAACCUUGGAACUUUUGCACUCAUCAAGCAAAACUGGUGUUGAACUUUUCAUGUUCAGAAAAUUUCUCAAACACUUUUUAGUUUGUUUAUUACUUGUGCCAUAUAGUUUACUGAUUCCUUUCAUUAUUGCUUAUUUCUUGAACCCUUGGUAAAAAUUGAAUCCACCCACACGUGACCUGGUCAUCUGUGAUUUUCACUCCCUUCAAUAAUUUUGUGUUAAGCAUCCUCAGUGUUCACACUAAAAAAGUUAGCGCGAGUUAGGACUUUAAAAAAUUACACCCCUGCAUGAUUACAAGAGUGAACUAUUCGGCAACACCGGUAGUUUCAAGUUUGAACAUCUGACGACCGGAAUAGCAUCGAAAAAAUGACGUGAUUGUUUACUUUCUGGAAGAUUGCAAUUUGUGAGGAAGUUAUUUUUUUGAGAGUACCAGAAGUCAGCUAGCAAAAUGGGGACGGUGGCAUCAUUGAUCAAAUUUGGCUAUUUGAUCGUGAUAGUCACAAUGAUACUCAUCAUCUGGGGGUCGAUAGCCAGCGCCUCAAGCGGAAGCGCACUGUACGGUCAUCGGUAAGUCCACUAAAUAUAUCGUGUAAGAUAUACUAUACAGUGUGAUCCAGGGUUAA